This 1523-nucleotide ribosomal RNA is filed under the name uncultured bacterium. RNAcentral describes it as "bacterial SSU rRNA". It matches the Rfam family "Bacterial small subunit ribosomal RNA". The record is from RNAcentral.
AGAGUUUGAUCCUGGCUCAGGACGAACGCUGGCGGCGUGCCUAACACAUGCAAGUCGAACGGAGAAUUUCAAAGAGUUUACUCGGAGAAAUUUUUAGUGGCGGUUAGUGGCGGACGGGUGAGUAACGCGUGGGUAACCUACCCAUAAACCCGGGACAACCCUUGGAAACGAGGGCUAAUACCGGAUAAUCUUAAGGCUUGGCAUCAAGUCUUAAGAAAAGGUGGCCUCUGAAGAUGCUACCGAUUAUGGAUGGACCCGCGUCUGAUUAGCUAGUUGGUGGGGUAAAGGCCUACCAAGGCGACGAUCAGUAGCCGGCCUGAGAGGGUGAACGGCCACACUGGGACUGAGACACGGCCCAGACUCCUACGGGAGGCAGCAGUGGGGAAUCUUCCGCAAUGGACGAAAGUCUGACGGAGCAACGCCGCGUGAAGGAUGAAGGUUUUCGGAUCGUAAACUUCUUUGAUGGGGGACGAAACAAAUGACGGUACCCCAAAAACAAGCCACGGCUAACUACGUGCCAGCAGCCGCGGUAAUACGUAGGUGGCGAGCGUUGUCCGGAAUUACUGGGUGUAAAGGGCGUGUAGGCGGGAAUGAAACGGAUUGAUAAGUCAGAUGUGAAAUGCCGAGGCUUAACCUCGGAGCUGCAUCUGAAACUGUGUUUCUUGAGUGUCGGAGAGGAAAGUGGAAUUCCCAGUGUAGCGGUGAAAUGCGUAGAUAUUGGGAGGAACACCAGUGGCGAAGGCGACUUUCUGGACUGUAACUGACGCUGAGGCGCGAAAGCGUGGGGAGCAAACAGGAUUAGAUACCCUAGUAGUCCUCGCUCGUAAACGAUGGAUACUAGGUGUGAGAGGUAUCGACCCCUUCAGUGCUGCAGUUAACGCAAUAAGUAAUCCGCCUGGGGAGUAUGCACGCAAGUGUGAAACUCAAAGGAAUUGACGGGGGCCCGCACAAGCGGUGGAGUAUGUGGUUUAAUUCGAAGCAACGCGAAGAACCUUACCAAGUCUUGACAUACCGCGCAAGGCCCUGGAGACAGGGAGAUAGUUUUAUGGCGGAUACAGGUGGUGCAUGGUUGUCGUCAGCUCGUGUCGUGAGAUGUUGGGUUAAGUCCCGCAACGAGCGCAACCCUUAUCUUUAGUUACCAUCAUUCAGUUGGGGACUCUAGAGAGACUGCCGGUGACAAACCGGAGGAAGGUGGGGAUGACGUCAAAUCAUCAUGGCCCUUAUGUCCAGGGCUACACACGUACUACAAUGGCCUGAACAGAGGGAAGCGAAACUGCGAAGUUAAGCGAACCCCUUAAAACAGGUCCCAGUUCGGAUUGUAGGCUGCAACUCGCCUACAUGAAGUUGGAAUCGCUAGUAAUCGCAGGUCAGCAUACUGCGGUGAAUACGUUCCCGGGCCUUGUACACACCGCCCGUCACACCACGAAAGUCGGCAACACCCGAAGCCGGUGACUCAACCCGAAAGGGAGAGAGCCGUCGAAGGUGGGGUUGGUAAUUGGGGUGAAGUCGUAACAAGGUAACCC